This 648-nucleotide ribosomal RNA is filed under the name Triticum aestivum (bread wheat). RNAcentral's name for it is "partial small subunit ribosomal RNA". The record is from RNAcentral. Lineage: Eukaryota; Viridiplantae; Streptophyta; Magnoliopsida; Poales; Poaceae.
AUGAACCGAUGCGCCUCUCUUGUAUCAGUUGGGGUCUCUGAAGCAAGCAGCAGCAACAACAUUGGAGCAUUCUCAUCCCUUGAUUUUCUAUAUAUUACCAGCUGCACGAAAUUGUUGAGCCUUGAUGAAUUCCUGACGCCUGCUUAUCUACCUGUUGUGAAGGAAAUUCGGAUUUGGAAUGGUGAGGAGCUGACGUCCUUGCCAGGUGAUAAGCUCCAUGGUUUUUCUUGUUUGCAGAAGCUGGAUAUUGAAAACUGUCCUAAGUUAAAUACACAGAUGGUACUAACAUUACCAUCCUCCCUCAAGAGCUUCAACUUGGAAGCAUGUCAAAGCAUGCAGUCCAUCGACAUUCGUCAGCUGGGGGGUACUCCAGCAUUGAAGGAAUUGAAAAUAGCACACUGUUCAAUCCUCAGAUCCAUAGGUGGUUCAGUAGCAGUUGCUCAGGUAGAGUCCGUGUGUAUUCUUGAUUGCCCAGAGCUGACAGAAGUAAGACAGCCUCUUCGACGAGGAAAUUGGUACGCAUUCUUGUCACCAGCAAAGACGGUUGCAUUAUGCAUCAGCAUUUUUCUGUCUCGUUAUAUACGUGACCAGCUAUAUGCUUGGUAUCUUUACAUCUUCGCAAAACAAAGCUCCUAUAUUCUACCUUGA